Unclassified non-coding RNA from Pongo abelii (Sumatran orangutan), 158 nucleotides. It matches the Rfam family "Metazoan signal recognition particle RNA". From Rfam's summary of the family: The signal recognition particle (SRP) is a universally conserved ribonucleoprotein. It is involved in the co-translational targeting of proteins to membranes. The eukaryotic SRP consists of a 300-nucleotide 7S RNA and six proteins: SRPs 72, 68, 54, 19, 14, and 9. The record is from Ensembl. Lineage: Eukaryota; Metazoa; Chordata; Mammalia; Primates; Hominidae.
GCUGGGCAUGGUAGCGCAUGUCUAUAAUCCCAGCUACUUGGGAGGCUGAGGCAGGAGAAUCGCUUGAACCCGGGAGGUGGAGGUUGCAGUGAGCUGAGAUUUUGAGAUUUUGCCACUGCACUAUCCAGCCUGGGUGACAGAGCAAGAUUCUGUCUCAA